RNAcentral lists this ribosomal RNA (502 nucleotides) under uncultured bacterium. RNAcentral describes it as "partial 16S ribosomal RNA". It matches the Rfam family "Bacterial small subunit ribosomal RNA", at positions 28 to 507 of the family's 1533-position model. The record is from RNAcentral.
GACGAACGCUGGCGGCGUGCUUAACACAUGCAAGUCGAACGGUGAAGGGGUCUGCUUUUGUGGGCCCUGGAUGAGUGGCGAACGGGUGAGUAACACGUGAGUAACCUGCCCCCUUCUUCUGGAUAACCGCAUGAAAGUGUGGCUAAUACGGGAUAUUCUGGGUCUGUCGCAUGAUGGGUCUGGGAAAGAUUGCGCCUUUGGGUGUUUUUGGUGGGGGAUGGGCUCGCGGCCUAUCAGCUUGUUGGUGGGGUGAUGGCCUACCAAGGCGGUGACGGGUAGCCGGCCUGAGAGGGUGGACGGUCACACUGGGACUGAGACACGGCCCAGACUCCUACGGGAGGCAGCAGUGGGGAAUAUUGCACAAUGGGCGCAAGCCUGAUGCAGCGACGCCGCGUGAGGGAUGGAGGCCUUCGGGGUGUAAACCUCUUUCGCCAGUGAAGCAGGCCUGCUCCGUGUGGGUGGGUUGACGGUAGCUGGAUAAGAAGCGCCGGCUAACUACGUG